RNAcentral lists this ribosomal RNA (656 nucleotides) under Arthrobacter sp. Muzt-E23. RNAcentral's name for it is "bacterial SSU rRNA". It matches the Rfam family "Bacterial small subunit ribosomal RNA", at positions 38 to 698 of the family's 1533-position model. The record is from RNAcentral. Lineage: Bacteria; Bacillati; Actinomycetota; Actinomycetes; Micrococcales; Micrococcaceae.
GGCGGCGUGCUUAACACAUGCAAGUCGAACGAUGAACCUCACUUGUGGGGGGAUUAGUGGCGAACGGGUGAGUAACACGUGAGUAACCUGCCCUUGACUCUGGGAUAAGCCUGGGAAACCGGGUCUAAUACUGGAUACGACCUUCUGGCGCAUGCCAUGUUGGUGGAAAGCUUUUGUGGUUUUGGAUGGACUCGCGGCCUAUCAGCUUGUUGGUGGGGUAAUGGCCUACCAAGGCGACGACGGGUAGCCGGCCUGAGAGGGUGACCGGCCACACUGGGACUGAGACACGGCCCAGACUCCUACGGGAGGCAGCAGUGGGGAAUAUUGCACAAUGGGCGCAAGCCUGAUGCAGCGACGCCGCGUGAGGGAUGAAGGCCUUCGGGUUGUAAACCUCUUUCAGUAGGGAAGAAGCCGGUCUUUUGGGUUGGUGACGGUACCUGCAGAAGAAGCGCCGGCUAACUACGUGCCAGCAGCCGCGGUAAUACGUAGGGCGCAAGCGUUAUCCGGAAUUAUUGGGCGUAAAGAGCUCGUAGGCGGUUUGUCGCGUCUGCCGUGAAAGUCCGGGGCUUAACUCCGGAUCUGCGGUGGGUACGGGCAGACUAGAGUGCAGUAGGGGAGACUGGAAUCCUGGUGUAGCGGUGAAAUGCGCAGAUAUC